RNAcentral lists this ribosomal RNA (465 nucleotides) under uncultured bacterium. Its description in RNAcentral is "partial 16S ribosomal RNA". It matches the Rfam family "Bacterial small subunit ribosomal RNA", at positions 28 to 507 of the family's 1533-position model. The record is from RNAcentral.
GAUGAACGCUGGCGGCGUGCUUAACACAUGCAAGUCGAACGGAAAGGCUCCUGCUUGCAGGGGUACUCGAGUGGCGAACGGGUGAGUAACACGUGGGUGAUCUGCCCUGCACUUCGGGAUAAGCCUGGGAAACUGGGUCUAAUACCGGAUAGGACGAUGGUUUGGAUGCCAUUGUGGAAAGUUUUUCGGUGUGGGAUGAGCUCGCGGCCUAUCAGCUUGUUGGUGGGGUAAUGGCCUACCAAGGCGUCGACGGGUAGCCGGCCUGAGAGGGUGUACGGCCACAUUGGGACUGAGAGACGGACCAGACUCCUACGGGAGGCAGCAGUGGGGAAUAUUGCACAAUGGGCGCAAGCCGGAUGCAGCGACGCCGCGUGGGGGAUGACGGCCUUCGGGUUGUAAACUCCUUUCGCUAGGGACGAAGCGCAAGUGACGGUACCUGGAGAAGAAGCACCGGCUAACUACGUG